RNAcentral lists this long non-coding RNA (4924 nucleotides) under Nasonia vitripennis (jewel wasp). RNAcentral describes it as "uncharacterized LOC116415859, transcript variant X2". Lineage: Eukaryota; Metazoa; Arthropoda; Insecta; Hymenoptera; Pteromalidae. The record is from RNAcentral.
UUUUAUAUACUCUGCCAGCUUCGUUUGAUUGAUUUUAUUUUUUCUUUCUACUAUAUUAUACUGGGAUUAAUCGCAUGAAAAUAUCGAAUUUAUUUUUCAAACGCGUAUAGAGUUUCCUUCGGCAAUGCGACGAGAGGUUCGAGUGUACGAGUGAGUCUCGAGUGGCUCUGGUAUAUAAGGUGAUCUUUUAUGAAAGCGAACCUUUGAAAUUCGAUGCCAGUCGCUUUCGAUUUUUUCUCCUAUGCAUAUACGUAACUCAUUAGGAGGCGAGUGACAGGUGCUUAUACUCGUUGAGUGUAUUGAGUGUGUCGCGGGGAACGAGUCGAUGCAUCGCGCGGGUCGAUUCGAAAUUAAAACCAUUGAUUAUGGCCUUUAUUAAAAUUUUUCACACUUUUUUUUCUCAUGUGUAUAUAGGCAACUCAUUAGGCGGACUGACGGGCGCUUACUCGCUGAGUGUCGCGAGGAAUACGAGCCGAUGCAUCGCGGAAAAUUAUAACUAUCGAUUAUAUCCUUCUUUACGAUUUUCACACCGUUAUGACUAUAUACAAGCGCUUCGUGUGCGGAUGCAUAUUUAACCGUAAAAUUGCCAACGCGACAGAGCCGCAAUUGCGAAACAUUUUCCUUUCGUUUCUAAUAUUCCCACGUCACUAUAUACCCGCAUGUUAUUGCACUCGUCCGUUUCUCUCGCAAAACAUAUACCCAGCUUACGUUCAUCGGCAGCAAUUUUCGAACGAUGUAAGUAAAAUUCUAAAAUCCUAAAAAAAACACCGAUUGUCUUCUGACGAAAUACCGUCUAGUUCUAGGUAAAACAUUAGCCACAGGAAGCUACACGUAUGCAUGCGCGAGUCGGACAAACAUGGCGCGCAGUCGCCUCUCUCUCUUUCUCUCUCUCUCUCUCGACAAUUGUGUAAGUAAACCUACUCCACAGGUAUACGUAUAAUACGCGCAUGCGAUCACGCGCCGCUCGUUAUAUAUAUACGCACCGUUGGCAUGCAGAGACGAUAAGAGAAAACGCAUACGUGCGUGUAAAUAUUUUCGUGAAUUUUUUUUUUUUUUUUUAUACGACAGUAAAGUCUCGAGAGGAAAGCGAGUGUAGAGUCGUAACGGUACACUGGAAAAAUCGUUACGGCCUUGCGUUCAGCCACGACAAAAAGCCUAAUUUCGAUCGUAUCAGUGCGCGACGCUGAUGAUUAUCGUCGCGUUCGAGGUAUUUCUGUUAAAAUAUGUAGUUGAAAGAAAAAAGAACGUAUCUACGUGUAUCGCGUGCAUCGAAAAAAUUAACCGAUCGGCUAAUCCACUCUAAUUAAUCUAUCAUCGACGUGCGAAGGUCCCGAUUUGACAACGAGCCUCUGUGUACACGUAGAUCUCGAAGAAGCUCGAGAUCUUUAUUUAUCAUUUACCGCCUCUGGAAAUCCCCGGAGCCUUGGAGUGUAUUUUAUCGUUCGGGUCUUCCAAAGGCUCGAGAAAUUCUCUCAACUGAACGAUAUGACCGAAUAUUCCGAUUAAAUUUUUCAGUAUCAUACAACCAAAAAGCAUAAUCGCGCAGGUAAUAAAUCGAAGCCGAUGACAGAUGUUCCGAAAUUAGUCACUGAGUGAUCCGCGAGGCAUUUAUUUUUCGUUGUAUAAGCUCGGAGAGAUAAGAGCGUUAUCGGGAAUUAUAGCGCUUCGCUAGACAACAAAGCCGUGUCUUUUAUGCAUUAGGCAUAGAAGCCGUCGUCGCGUCGAAUUGAUAACGCGGCUCUUUUCACAACUGCGUCUUCCUCCGCUCUUUAAAAAAAAGAAGGUCGGCUCUGUGUCUCGCCGAACAAAAACCCGAACGUUGCGAAAAAAAAAAACGUAAGUAUAUUCAGCGAAGAUAACGAACACAGCGUCGUAGUCGUCAUCGAUGAGUAAUUAAGAAAAUAGAACGACGAUCCCUCUCGCGACCGGUGUAAUUUCCUCGAGCGCAUCCACGAAAUCGGCGGAAGCCUGUGACGCGGGCGUUUUCCGAUCCAUGUGACUCACGCUGAGCCACAGUGGGAAAAUCGCUGUAGCGUGUGGUGCUGCGCGAUUCGUUGAACCUGAUUAUACGCGCUGCAGAGCGGGCUUUGCAAUGCGGAUGGGAGACGAGUUCGUUGCGCGAGGAAACUGUAUAUUGCUAUAAGCUGAUGCAAGAGGUGAAAAAUCGUCGAGUGUUCGGUGGGAAUUUUAACGUUUGAUUGGCGCUUUGUACACGUGUACCUAUACGAGCUUCUCUGCUUCUAAUUUUAAGCAAAACAAUUGCGCUUCUGCCAAGAAUCCUGUGUAUGCACACAUCGCUUGGCGAAAAUACGUCGAUUAGCGAGAUGAUCGAUGUCGAGGACAAUAAACGCUUCUAUAUACCCGUUGAUUCAACGUAAUAUAUAAUACAUAACAGAGGGCGUGGCUGCAUCUAUCAUAACAUAACGGACAAUUACGCGCAUUACGUGGAUUAACAUUCGCACUGGUCUUCCUUCCAAAAAUCUCCCACGCACCGGCUUAUCCUCCCUAAUGAAAUAAUCGCUUACAAUUAGGACUCGUUUCUACUCACGCACACACACACGCACACACGCACACAAAAUCCAUCUCUAAAAUAUCCCCUACAAUACGUGCGCUCAACGCAGCGUUAACCGGUCGAUUUUAAAAGGAAGUCUCGGGACCGCCGCGCCGGCCUUGGCUUUUGUCCGAUGUUAAGCCACGUGCGUGUCUGCGUGUGCUGUAUAUGGCAGUCUCGCUUUUUUUUCUUUUUUUUUGUCGAACGCGACGAUUCGCCGUGAUGCUAAAGAGAUGCAGCGACGAUGAUAUGAAUGGAGAGGUAUUUCCGCCGAGGGUUUUCGGAUUUCUCGUGAGGCGAAUGUGAAGACGAACUCGUUUGCGGAUGGCGUAGAGUAUUUUGGUUGAUCAGAAUUUUUUUUUUAAUUCUUCACGGCCGAGACCUUGUCUUUGGGAAAAAGGAGCCGCGUGCACGCUCGAAUCUUGUGUAAAACUUUUGUGUAACGCCGAACACAUAACAAAAAAAAAAGAAAAAAAAGACAAUCUCGCUUUUAUGCGUAAAUAAAAGAAUUUCACCCGCGCACGAGAAAUUUGCCUUCGCGCAUCGAUCGCAGUGCAGCUGUCCCGACGUCGCGCCGGCAUUAACUUCACGGCGCCGUCUAGCCCAUCAUCUCUCUUCCCCAUCGGGAAGUGUGUCGAAGCUCUUCUUCUUCGUCUCAUUGUGUGUGUGUGUGUGUGUACACGCGUAAAGAAUCCGAAACACAUCCCGAAAGAGGAUUCCCGGUUUCUUUGUGUGUGCCGGAUCAGCGCUUCGGUGCACGUGCACCGAAGAGCGCCUGACAACUGUGAGUCGGAUGUGUGCGCGCGUAAUUUGGAUUUAUCGUCAUAGUGUCUUCUCGGUUUGAUUAAACAGUCGAGUGUCGUCGAUGCAGAUAUUAUAUUGAUGUGUGUGUGUGUUUUUUUUUUUUUUUAUUGAUUUACGGAGAAGAAGUAGUAAGCCGCGCCGUGAACAGCGAUGAACUCAUACAUGCGCUUAUCGGAACGCGAUAACGCCGAUCGAUACGCCGAUUAUAUCGACAUACGUGUCGCCGAGAGAAAAACUGUGCGUUAACAUUAUUCGUCGCUUCGUCGAAAUCGAUUUUGGAGUUGAGGACUGGCGAUUUUCCUGAAUAUUCAGUUGAAAACGUGACGCAGUUGCGCGCUAGCUUUUUUUUCGAUCCCGAUGAAUAAUCGAUCGAUGCUCGAGAGAAACGCAGCCUGCAGCGCUCGCGAUCACAUAUAUACGCGAAGCGCCUCGUCGCUCGACCGGAUUUUCCCCCCUUGCAUACAAUGUAUACACACUCGAAAUCUCUCCUCUCCUCGGCGGUUUAUUCUCGGGCCGCCGCCUUCUAUCGGCCUUUUUUUUCGAAUUCUUGCGAAGCGCAGCGACUCGAGUCUCAAGGCGAAACGAUGGAAUGCACGGCAGAUGUUUCGCUUCUCGCGCGCGGGUCGUUGUGCUUUUUUAUCAUCUUAUUUAUCCCGAUUAUUCGAAGUCGAUGAGAGAACGUUUCGCCGAUAAAUAAAUAAUAUAUAAACGUAACGGCGGUGUUUCGAGAGAAUUUCGCGGCGGGAUAUGCAAGGGGAGACCGGUUUUCUCCCCGUUAAAGCGUACAGUUCCGCGCACGGGGGAUUCCAAGGCCGCAGCACACGCCCAAAAAGCUAUUCCGGGUGCGCGUGCACUCGGCCACUCUCGCUUUCCUUUCUUCCGUCCGCAAGGCGUCUCGCUCUUUAUUUAUUUCGAAGAGAGAUAUACCAGAGCCGAUCAAGUGCGCGUCGGAAAUCUCUCGUAUGUUCGCUCUGACACUUCGCACAAGUCGAUAUCGCGCGACUCCGCAAUCGAGGAAAAUACGCGGCUGUUAUCGGCGUCGUAUAAUAUGUAUGGUAAAAAGAAUCCGUCGCUCUUACCUGAAGCUCAACGAGAAGGAGAAUAAAAAUCGGCAACGAUCCAACGAUCGGCUCACAAAACACCACUACGAAAUCUCACGAGAAGAGAGAGAGGGAAACGUGCGCUCGCGUCGAAGUUCGACUCGGGACUGAAGUACUGACGGCCGCGACAGCGACUCUCGAUCGACUCAAGACUCUAUAGUGCGCAGGUUUUCCCGAAGCGCGACUAGCGCUGGCUUUGCGUGAUCGCGAUGAUGUCAUUGUUGGCUCUCUUUUUUGGGAAUCUACGCGAGCGCGAAGCGUUGUUGUUUUUUUUUUUUUUUUCGAGGGGAGAGAUUAGGUUGCCAGACUUUGGCGUCGGGAGAUCAUCGUUGAAGGAGUUUUGCUUUUGUGAUGGAUGCGGUGUGUAUUUUUUGAAACAUAGAGAGUUUGUCGAAUAAGACUUGGUAGUUUCUGCUAUUGGCUGAAGAUAAAUAAAAUAAUAAAUUCAGCAAUUCGGCUACAAUUUUAA